Molecule: non-coding RNA, 71 nt
Organism: Phrynosoma platyrhinos (Desert horned lizard)
Lineage: Eukaryota; Metazoa; Chordata; Lepidosauria; Squamata; Phrynosomatidae
Source: the annotation of a GenBank genome assembly
GGAAUGUGGCCCAGUGGCAAAGCCCAUGUUUUGCAUACCGAAGAUCCCAAGUUCAAUCCCUGGCAUCUCCA